GCUAGAAUAGCAAAGGGGUAAAUGCAAUAGAUUUAGGAUUUAUUAUCAAAGGUUCAAUUCCUUUUUUUAGUU
RNAcentral lists this transfer RNA (72 nucleotides) under Culcita novaeguineae. RNAcentral describes it as "tRNA-Leu". It matches the Rfam family "tRNA". Rfam says of the family: Transfer RNA (tRNA) molecules are approximately 80 nucleotides in length. Lineage: Eukaryota; Metazoa; Echinodermata; Asteroidea; Valvatida; Oreasteridae. The record is from RNAcentral.